GGAGAGUUACCCAAGAGGCCGAAGGGGACGGUUUGCUAAACCGUUAGUAUGCGAAUAGCGUAGCGAGGGUUCGAAUCCCUCACUCUCCG
Molecule: transfer RNA, 89 nt
Filed under: Brevibacillus sp. WF146
Lineage: Bacteria; Bacillati; Bacillota; Bacilli; Caryophanales; Paenibacillaceae
Rfam family: tRNA
About the family: Transfer RNA (tRNA) molecules are approximately 80 nucleotides in length.
Source: Rfam by way of RNAcentral